This 468-nucleotide ribosomal RNA is filed under the name uncultured bacterium. RNAcentral describes it as "partial 16S ribosomal RNA". It matches the Rfam family "Bacterial small subunit ribosomal RNA", at positions 28 to 507 of the family's 1533-position model. The record is from RNAcentral.
GACGAACGCUGGCGGCGUGCUUAACACAUGCAAGUCGAACGGAAAGGCCCUGCUUUUGUGGGGUGCUAGAGUGGCGAACGGGUGAGUAACACGUGAGUAACCUGCCCUGGACUUUGGGAUAACUUCAGGAAACUGGGGCUAAUACCGGAUAGGAGCUCCUGCUGCAUGGGGGGGGUUGGAAAGUUUCGGCGGUUGGGGAUGGACUCGCGGCUUACCAGCUUGUUGGUGGGGUAGUGGCCUACCAAGGCAUUGACGGAUAGCCGGCCUGAGAGGGUGACCGGCCACAUUGGGACUGCGAGACGCACCAGACUCCAACGGUAGGCAGUAGUCGGGAAUAUUGCACAAUGGGCGGACGCCUGAUGCAGCAACGCCGCGUGCGUGAUGACGGCCUUCGGGUUGUAAACCGCUUUCGCCUGUGACGAAGCGUGAGUGACGGUAAUGGGUAAAGAAGCACCGGCUAACUACGUG